UUUAAUUUAAAAUAUUAAAACUAAAAAUAGAAAUAAGUAAGUUAAAUUUAAAUAUUUCCUGAUACUGCACUAUUUUUCUAUAAGCUUAGUGUAAUAAACACUAAACAACGAAUUUGUCAAUAUGACGAGGGUUAUUUCAGUUACGUUGGUGGCAGCAGGUUGCAGGUAUAUAGAAAACCGAUCAAUAAUAAAUUAAUGACCGCAACCUAUGUUUCAGUCGACAUGUACAGUUAAAAAAAGGUAAUAUAGGUACACAGCAUCAACUACGAUAGACACUAACCGAUUAAUCAUACAAUACAUCAGGCUAACGAUGAGAACCCCAUUUAUUUUAUCUGGUCCGUUCUUGAUAAUAUCACUCAACUAUUAUUUGCAGCAGCGUAAUAAUUCUAGUUCUAUAUCUGAAUGAUUCUUCAAAAAGAACCACAGAGCUCAUAAUUAUAUAACUGCGUAAAAUGUGGUAGAAUGCUUUAUUCGUCCCUGUGCUGUAAAACGGUGUUUGUGAGGUUUAACACCAGCUUGCUGCUGCUGGAAACACGGAUUUAGUACGGUCAAAUAAUUGCGCAUAAUUGGACGCUAUAAUAGCAACGCUCUCAUAGCCGUUUGUUACUUAAAUGGAGAUUUAUUCCACGGACGGGUAGACGCAAGGCUUUUGCAAGGGGAGAUGGAUGACGCCGAUUCCACCGUAGCAGCAUAGCCGAAAGAGAAAGAUGCGACGGGGGCGAUUAAUAAAUUAUUUAAGCGCCACCGCCAACGACAUC
Long non-coding RNA from Aphis gossypii (cotton aphid), 758 nucleotides. RefSeq lists it as uncharacterized. The record is from RefSeq and is a predicted model, not a curated record. Lineage: Eukaryota; Metazoa; Arthropoda; Insecta; Hemiptera; Aphididae. The transcript has 5 exons.